AACGAACGCUGGCGGCAUGCCUAACACAUGCAAGUCGAACGAGACCUUCGGGUCUAGUGGCGCACGGGUGCGUAACGCGUGGGAACCUGCCCUUAGGUUCGGAAUAACUCCCCGAAAGGGGUGCUAAUACCGGAUAAUGUCUUCGGACCAAAGAUUUAUCGCCUUUGGAUGGGCCCGCGUUGGAUUAGCUAGUUGGUAGGGUAAAAGCCUACCAAGGCGACGAUCCAUAGCUGGUCUGAGAGGAUGAUCAGCCACACUGGGACUGAGACACGGCCCAGACUCCUACGGGAGGCAGCAGUGGGGAAUAUUGGACAAUGGGCGAAAGCCUGAUCCAGCAAUGCCGCGUGAGUGAUGAAAGCCUUAGGGUUGUAAAGCUCUUUUACCCGGGAUGAUAAUGACAGUACCGGGAGAAUAAGCUCCGGCCAACUCCGUG
Molecule: ribosomal RNA, 433 nt
Filed under: uncultured bacterium
Lineage: Bacteria
Description: partial 16S ribosomal RNA
Rfam family: Bacterial small subunit ribosomal RNA
Source: RNAcentral